Non-coding RNA from Schizosaccharomyces pombe (fission yeast), 1289 nucleotides. Lineage: Eukaryota; Fungi; Ascomycota; Schizosaccharomycetes; Schizosaccharomycetales; Schizosaccharomycetaceae. The record is from the annotation of a GenBank genome assembly.
CACGUUUUGCCAACCCACAUAUAUCUAGCUUGUAGCGCUUAUAAUGAAAAUCCUUUAAAUUUUGUACAGCGGAAAGUGUGUUACUAAGAAACUUUUCUGUUGACGACUGUGCAUCAGAUAAAGAGCCAAAUGGAUGCUUCAAUAAAGUAUCGUAAGUGACUCUGUAUAAUUUAGCUGGAAUCAUUACACCAGAAUCACCAAAAUUAUCUUUAGCAAUAAAUUCUCUUGUUUGAUAGAACUGUAGCUGUAAUGUGAAAAAGCCAACUAGUUUACCUGAGGAGCACUCUUGUCUAUAAGUCAGCGUAUCCCAAAACUCUUCAACGGACAUGUCACUUUUCUCAUCUUGAAGCUCGCAUAAAUACCUACAUUUUGGGUCAUCUGGAAAUCUUGGUAAUUCUUCAACUGCUUUUCCAGUUGUUAUAGCGUUGCUUUCAAUCCAAUGACGAUUGGGUAAGUACGAACGAAUAUUUUCAAGUCCAGGAACAAAUAAAUAAGCCUUAGGAAGUAAUGUGGAAUUCUUUUGCUUUUCGGAAUCGUUUGGUGCUUCACUGUCAGUAUAAUACUUCCUGAGUUUUUCCAAACAAUUUACCCACCAGCGUAACAAACCAGAAUCAUUCAGCACAUGCUUUUGUCCAUUGUCCACCGACUCAGGAAAUAAAUAUUGACCUUGAGCAAUCGCAAACAGAGUCAAAGUUACAUUUUCGGCUCCUUGUUUUCUAAGACCGUCAAUAAGUGUCACUAAGCAGCAAAAAGCAAGAGAGUUACAAGAUACCCCUUUGCUGCCGAAUCCGGUAGAAUCUGCUUUAGAUACAAAUACUAUAAACUCUUUGUUUUUUUCGUAAACUAUGCAUUCCAUGCCAAAAAUAAAUACAUUUUGUUCCUCUACCAAAAAAAGAUGACUCCCAAAUUGAAAAUCCUUAGACUUCUUACUUUGACCAAAUAGAAAUGGACAUUUCUCUAAAGUACUUUUAAGAUGAUAAAUACUCAAUUUUCUGCCUUCUAAUAUACUUUCUGACCAAAGAUCCGGCAUAUUCUUUAGUUUAAAGGAUAAAGAGAGUUAACGCAACUACAGCAAUUAUUGUGAGUGAAUACUAUGUUACAAUUGCUUAAGUGAUAUAAUGAAUCUAAUAAAACAACGUCAAAAUCCGUAAGGAGCUUUAAUUUUUGCUGGUAAACCUUUAUAGUGUGUUCGUUAUUGAUGACUAUUCUGAGAUGCAUGGCAAGAGGUGUUGUUUCUACAGCUCUCUUAAAAGUUCCAACUUAUUACACUCUCAAUACACAUCAAUAUG